AUGGUACUGUAAGAAUAAGGGUCGGCUAACUUCGUGCCAGCAGCCGCGGUAAUACGAAAGACCCAAGCGUUAUCCGGAUUUAUUGGGUUUAAAGGGUGCGUAGGCGGAUUUGUAAGUCAGUGGUGAAAGCCCGUCGCUUAACGGCGGAACUGCCAUUGAUACUGCAAGUCUUGAGUAUGGUUGAGGUGGGCGGAAUGUGUCAUGUAGCGGUGAAAUGCUUAGAUAUGACACAGAACACCGAUUGCGAAGGCAGCUCGCUAAGCCAUAACUGACGCUGAGGCACGAAAGCGUGGGGAGCAAACAGGAUUAGAUACCCUGGUAGUCCACGCCCUAAACGAUGAUAACUCGAUGUUGGCGAUACACAGUCAGCGUCUAAGCGAAAGCAUUAAGUUAUCCACCUGGGAAGUACGACCGCAAGGUUGAAACUCAAAGGAAUUGACGGGGGCCCGCACAAGCGGAGGAGCAUGUGGUUUAAUUCGAUGAUACGCGAGGAACCUUACCUGGGCUUGAAAGUUAGUGACCGUCCCUGAAAGGGGACCUUCAGCAAUG
Molecule: ribosomal RNA, 549 nt
Filed under: uncultured bacterium
Lineage: Bacteria
Description: bacterial SSU rRNA
Rfam family: Bacterial small subunit ribosomal RNA
Source: RNAcentral